AUCUGGGCGGCGGAAUUCAGAAUGGCGAGGGCGUCUUCGCGGCGUUCUCGUCGUUUGAUAUUUCCGUCGCCAGUCACACUCAGACGUCGCGACCUGUUCGCGGUCGGUCCUUGCUUCGGAGGAGCCGCGUUCGAGUUCGUUGUGGGCGCGUUUCGGCGCGUUUCACGGCGAAGGCGCGGAUCUCUGGCUGGCCGUCGGACAGUACGCAUAACGGUGUCCGGUGCCGUAGUACUCGUACGCGCGCGCACCGGUACCGGUCAGCGACGAAUUCUUCGGGCCUCUUUCCGACCCGUCUUGAAACACGGACCAAGGAGUCUAACAUGCGCGCGAGUCGCGGGGUGUCGAGCGUACUUCGGUGCGUUCGUUAUGUUGCGAAACCCGUACAUGUCGAAGGCGUAAUGAAAGUGAAUGGGGAAGAUGGUGUUCCGAGUACACGUUCCGCGGUCGUCGGUAUCGCGGCCGGACACCCGCAUUCCCGGGGCGUCUCAACGGCCCGUCGCGGAUGUCGGCCGUCGUCUCUCGGGGCGGCGGUCAGUCUGCGACGAACCGA
This 550-nucleotide ribosomal RNA is filed under the name Pseudaonidia trilobitiformis. Its description in RNAcentral is "eukaryotic LSU rRNA". Lineage: Eukaryota; Metazoa; Arthropoda; Insecta; Hemiptera; Diaspididae. The record is from RNAcentral.